CAGAGGUCCCGAGCGUUGUUCGGAUUCACUGGGCGUAAAGGGUGCGUAGGUGGUGAGGUAAGUCGGAUGUGAAAUCUCCGGGCUCAACCCGGAAAUGGCAUUGGAAACUACCUUGCUGGAGGAUUUGAGGGGGGAUUGGAAUACUUGGUGUAGCAGUGAAAUGCGUAGAUAUCAAGUGGAACACCAGUGGCGAAGGCGAAUCCCUGGAAAAUACCUGACACUGAGGCACGAAAGCUAGGGGAGCAAACAGGAUUAGAUACCCUGGUAGUCCUAGCCCUAAACGGUGCUUGCUUGCUGUAAGAGGAAUCGACCCCUCUUGUGGCGGAGCUAACGCGUUAAGCAAGCCGCCUGGGAAGUACGGUCGCAAGAUUA
Molecule: ribosomal RNA, 372 nt
Filed under: uncultured organism
Description: bacterial SSU rRNA
Rfam family: Bacterial small subunit ribosomal RNA
Source: RNAcentral